Molecule: long non-coding RNA, 1931 nt
Organism: Amphiprion ocellaris (clown anemonefish)
Lineage: Eukaryota; Metazoa; Chordata; Actinopteri; Pomacentridae
Source: Ensembl
ACAAUGUCAUAACAGAGAAGUUUUGAGACAAACAAGAUGCACCGUCAACGCGAGGCCUGGAAGUCCAGCCGGCACUAAAAUGCAGGAAAAAAUGAAGUCUUAAUCUGCUGUAUGUCAAGAGAGACCAUGUUUGGGUAUUUUUUCAUCAAGGGUGAGCUGGAACUGGUGUUGGGGUACUCAGAUUACUUUUUGUCGCUUCCGUUCACCCUCGACCCGAGCAGUCAAGGCUGACGUCUGCCCUCCCUGAGCCUGGUUUUGCUGGAGGUUUCUUCCAGGUAAAGGUCGACUCGGUGGAUGUGAUGUGACUGUAGCAUCACACUGACGUGGACCGAAGGUUCGGCUGCAUCAGGACACAGCAGGAGCGUUUUAAUGGAUGGAGCAGCUCUAAGUGAAUUAACUGGAGGAGGAGAGCUUGAAAGUGACUAAAAUAAGAUUUUGGCCCUUUUUGCAUGUCAAAGGUGCCUCCUGGUCUCCGAAGGCCUGUUCAGCCGUGAAGUGCACCUGAUUUCACUUUGUCAGGAAAAAAAUAACCGACGAGACCCCAAAUAGUUGAGAAAACUUCCCCGGCCUUCCAGUGGAUGGACAAAGAUCCGACUGUCUCUGCCUCUUUGGAUCCGUCCUCUCGGAUCCCUGCAGUCGUCUGUCUUCCUGGCAGCCAGCAGUCGAUCCUACACUGGGACCGAAGCCUCCUCGGCAGACAGCAGCCCUAAUUUCAUUAAUUAUAAACCAAUAUGCUGCUGGCAGUCCCUCCGGAGAGGACUUCACCCAGCACUGGCAUCUGUUCAGCACAAACACAGUGAGGGAUGGAAGGAUGGAGGGAUGAAGGGAUGGAGGGAGGAGAAAACAAGGACAUCUCUGACUCCUACCAUAGGAGAAGUCUGGUGCUGUGAAGGGAGCUCAUGGAGGGUGAAGGAGAUGAUGGAUGGAUGGAUGGAUGGAUGGAUGGAUGGAUGGAUGGAUGGAUGGAUGGAUAGAUAGAUAGAUAGAUAGAUAGACAGAUAGAUAGAUAGAUAGAUGGACGGCCGGACGGACGGACGAUGGAUAGACGGAUGGAUGGACGGAUGGAUGGAUGGAUGGAUGGAUGGUGGACGGACGGACGGACGGACAGACAGACAAACAGAGAGAUAGAUAGAUAGAUAGAUAGAUAGAUAGAUAGAUAGAUAGAUAGAUAGAUAGAUAGAUAGAUAGGGAUGGAUGGAUAGACAGACAGAUGGACAGACGAGCGAUGGGUGGAUAGAUGGAUGGAUGAUGGAUGGAUGGGUGGAUGGAUGGAUGAUGGAUGGAUGGAUGGAUGGAUAGAUAGAUAGAUAGAUAGAUAGAUAGAUAGAUAGAUAGAUGGACGGCCGGAUGGACGGACAAUGGAUAGAUGGAUGGAUGGACAGAUGGAUGGAUGGAUGGAUGGUGGACGGACGGACGGACGGCCAGACGGACAGACAGACAAACAGAGAGAUAGAUAGAUAGAUAGAUAGAUAGAUAGAUAGAUAGAUAGAUAGAUAGAUAGAUAGAUAGAUAGAUAGGGAUGGAUGGAUAGACAGACAGAUGGACAGACGAGCGAUGGGUGGAUAGAUGGAUGGAUGAUGGAUGGAUGGAUGGAUGGAUGGAUGGAUGGAUGAUGGAUGGAUGGAUGGAUGAUGGACGGACGGAUGGAUGAUGGAUGGAUGGAUGAAUAGACGGAUGGACAGAUGGAUGGACAGACGGACAGACAGACAGACGGAUGGAUGGAUAAAUGGAUGGAUGGAUGGAUGGAUGGAUGGAUGGACGGAUGGACAGAUGGAUGGAUGGAUGGACAGAUGGUACAGAAUACAAAGAAAAUAGAGUCUGAUGAAGUACAAAAGUGCAAUGUGAAAAAAGAACUACUACUAAUACAGAGUAUGUAGGAACUCUGUGUAGGUGCUUCACUGUGAGGACGAUGCAUUCACUGUGGUGGUCCU